AAGGGAAUAACUUAGUGGCGGACGGGUGAGUAACGCGUGGGUAACCUGCCGUAUACAGGGGGAUAACACUUAGAAAUAGGUGCUAAAACCGCAUAAGCGCACAGUACCGCAUGGUACCGUGUGAAAAACUCCGGUGGUAUACGAUGGACCCGCGUCUGAUUAGCCAGUUGGCAGGGUAACGGCCUACCAAAGCGACGAUCAGUAGCCGGCCUGAGAGGGUGGACGGCCACAUUGGGACUGAGACACGGCCCAAACUCCUACGGAAGGCAGCAG
RNAcentral lists this ribosomal RNA (273 nucleotides) under uncultured bacterium. Its description in RNAcentral is "partial 16S ribosomal RNA". It matches the Rfam family "Bacterial small subunit ribosomal RNA", at positions 81 to 354 of the family's 1533-position model. The record is from RNAcentral.